Molecule: ribosomal RNA, 253 nt
Filed under: uncultured bacterium
Lineage: Bacteria
Description: partial 16S ribosomal RNA
Rfam family: Bacterial small subunit ribosomal RNA
Source: RNAcentral
UACAGAGGUCUCAAGCGUUGUUCGGAUUCAUUGGGCGUAAAGGGUGCGUAGGUGGCGGGGUAAGUCAGGUGUGAAAUCUCGAGGCUCAACCUCGAAACUGCACUUGAUACUGCCUUGCUAGAGUACUGGAGAGGAGAUUGGAAUUUACGGUGUAGCAGUGAAAUGCGUAGAUAUCGUAAGGAAGACCAGUGGCGAAGGCGGCUCGCUGGGCCGGUCCUGACACUGAGACGCGAAGGCGUGGGGAGCGAACGGG